This 237-nucleotide ribosomal RNA is filed under the name Funneliformis sp. Its description in RNAcentral is "partial small subunit ribosomal RNA". The stretch from base 46 to 237 matches the Rfam family "Eukaryotic small subunit ribosomal RNA", at positions 693 to 886 of the family's 1831-position model. The record is from RNAcentral. Lineage: Eukaryota; Fungi; Glomeromycota; Glomeromycetes; Glomerales; Glomeraceae.
GAAUCAAUUUGUUGGUCGUGCCUCGGUACGUACUGGUAUUAUUGGUUUCUACCUUCUGAAGAACCUUGAUGUCAUUAAUUUGGUGUCUUGGGGAAUCAGGACUGUUACUUUGAAAAAAUUAGAGUGUUUAAAGCAAGCAUACGCUUGAAUACAUUAGCAUGGAAUAAUGAAAUAGGACGUUUGAUUCUAUUUUGUUGGUUUCUAGGAUCGACGUAAUGAUUAAUAGGGAUAGUUGGG